UGGGGAAUCUUGCACAAUGGGGGAAACCCUGAUGCAGCGACGCCGCGUGAACGAUGAAGCCCUUCGGGGUGUAAAGUUCUUUCGACAAGAAGGAUAAUGACGGUACCUGGAGAAGAAGCUGCGGCUAACUACGUGCCAGCAGCCGCGGUAAUACGUAGGCAGCGAGCGUUGUUCGGAGUUACUGGGCGUAAAGAGUGCGUAGGCGGCGAGCCAAGUUUGGUGUGAAAUCUCCCGGCUUAACCGGGAGGGUGCGCCGAAAACUGGUAGGCUGGAGUAUGGGAGAGGAAAGCGGAAUUCCUGGUGUAGCGGUAAAAUGCGUAGAUAUCAGGAGGAACACCUGCGGUGUAGACAGCUUUCUGGACCAAAACUGACGCUGAGGCACGAAAGCGUGGGUAGCAAAC
Molecule: ribosomal RNA, 401 nt
Filed under: uncultured bacterium
Lineage: Bacteria
Description: bacterial SSU rRNA
Rfam family: Bacterial small subunit ribosomal RNA
Source: RNAcentral